ACGGAGGAUGCGAGCGUUAUCCGGAUUUAUUGGGUUUAAAGGGUGCGCAGGCGGAUCGGUAAGUCAAGGGUGAAAAGCUGCUGCUCAACAGCAGUCGUGCCAAUGAUACUGCCGAACUAGAGUGUAAGAGGUGUACUUGGAAUGUGAUGUGUAGCGGUGAAAUGCUUAGAUAUGUCACAGAACGCCGAUCGUGAAGACAGAUUACAAACUUACAACUGACGCUGAGGCACGAAAGCGUGGGGAGAAAACAG
RNAcentral lists this ribosomal RNA (251 nucleotides) under uncultured bacterium. Its description in RNAcentral is "partial 16S ribosomal RNA". It matches the Rfam family "Bacterial small subunit ribosomal RNA", at positions 525 to 775 of the family's 1533-position model. The record is from RNAcentral.